CGCGAUUCGCCCUUCGGGGUGCGCAGGCGCGAAAACUUUACAAUGCGGGAAACCGUGAUAAGGGAACUCUGAGUGCCCGUAAAAUCGGGCUGUCCAUCAGUUUAAAUAACUGGUGAAGAAAGGGCCGGGCAAGACCGGUGCCAGCCGCCGCGGUAAUACCGGCGGCUCGAGUGGUGGCCACUAUUACUGGGCUUAAAGCGUUCGUAGCUGGUUUGUUAAGUCUCUGGGGAAAUCUUCCGGCUUAACCGGAAGGCGUCUCAGGGAUACUGGCAGACUAGGGACCGGGAGAGGUGAGGGGUACUUCAGGGGUAGGAGUGAAAUCCUGUAAUCCUUGAGGGACCACCUGUGGCGAAGGCGCCUCACCAGAACGGCUCCGACAGUGAGGGACGAAAGCUGGGGGAGCAAACCGGAUUAGAUACCCGGGUAGUCCCAGCUGUAAACGAUGCGCGUUAGGUGUAUCGGUGACCACGAGUCACCGAGGUGCCGAAGAGAAAUCGUGAAACGUGCCGCCUGGGAAGUACGGUCGCAAGGCUGAAACUUAAAGGAAUUGGCGGGGGAGCAC
This 562-nucleotide ribosomal RNA is filed under the name uncultured archaeon. Its description in RNAcentral is "bacterial SSU rRNA". It matches the Rfam family "Archaeal small subunit ribosomal RNA", at positions 312 to 879 of the family's 1478-position model. The record is from RNAcentral.